CAGUAGCCGCGGGAAUACGUAUGUCGCGAGCGUUAUCCGGAAUUAUUGGGCAUAAAGGGCAUCUAGGCGGCCGGAUAAGUCUGGGGUGAAAACUUGCGGCUCAACCGCAAGCCUGCCCUGGAAACUAUGCGGCUAGAGUACUGGAGAGGUGGACGGAACUGCACGAGUAGAGGUGAAAUUCGUAGAUAUGUGCAGGAAUGCCGAUGAUGAAGAUAGUUCACUGGACGGUAACUGACGCUGAAGUGCGAAAGCUAGGGGAGCAAACAGGAUUAGAUACCCCAGUAGUCCCUGUCUCUUAUAC
Molecule: ribosomal RNA, 301 nt
Filed under: uncultured bacterium
Lineage: Bacteria
Description: partial 16S ribosomal RNA
Rfam family: Bacterial small subunit ribosomal RNA
Source: RNAcentral